RNAcentral lists this ribosomal RNA (423 nucleotides) under uncultured bacterium. Its description in RNAcentral is "partial 16S ribosomal RNA". It matches the Rfam family "Bacterial small subunit ribosomal RNA", at positions 359 to 774 of the family's 1533-position model. The record is from RNAcentral.
GAAUUUUGGACAAUGGGCGAAAGCCUGAUCCAGCAAUGCCGCGUGCAGGAUGCAGGCCUUCGGGUUGUAAACUGCUUUUGUACGGAACGAAAAGCUUUGGGUUCAUCCCCUGGAGUCAUUACUGUACCGUAAGAAUAAGCACCGGCUAACUACUGUCCAGCAGCCGCGGUAAUACGUAGGGUGCAAGCGUUAAUCGGAAUUACUGGGCGUAAAGCGUGCGCAGGCGGUUGUGGAAGACAGAGGUGAAAUCCCCGGGCUCAACCUGGGAACUGCCUUUGUGACUGCAAGGCUAGAGUACGGCAGAGGGGGGUGGAAGUCCGCGUGUAGCAGUGAAAUGCGUAGAUAUGCGGAGGAACACCGAUGGCGAAGGCAACCCCCUGGGCCUGUACUGACGCUCAUGCACGAAAGCGUGGGGAGCAAACA